UGAAGAGGAAUCAGUGGGAAAUCGUUCAUUUGGUGACGCGCUGAUCAGGACUGCACGCUUCUGUGGCUCCCACUUCUGCUCCAAGAUUCUUUGGAGAUCAACCAGCAUCAUGAAGACCCAGGAAGCCAGAAGCAGGUCAAGAAAAAGAAGAGAAAUCAUCGCCUUCUCUCUGUCCUGAUCUGCGGUGUGAGCGCAGUUGGAGAUGAACAUGCCAGCAGGGCUCAUGCAGGAAAGUUGUCACUGUUUACACCUCAUAAAAAUAUUUGUUGGCUUCCGUAUUUAUGGAAUCCAGAUGUUGUCAGUCCCAGCUUUCCCAAAAAAACGUAUUUAUUUUUUAUUACUUUUAUCUUUUAGGACAUCUUUUUUUCUGUCUCUGACAUUUUGUUUCUUUUUUUGUAACCAAAGUUUAUUUCCCCCAAAAAGCUUUUUUUAUUUUUUGCAGAGAUCUGAGAAAC
Long non-coding RNA from Poeciliopsis prolifica (blackstripe livebearer), 455 nucleotides. RefSeq lists it as uncharacterized. Lineage: Eukaryota; Metazoa; Chordata; Actinopteri; Cyprinodontiformes; Poeciliidae. The transcript is spliced from 3 exons. The record is from RefSeq and is a predicted model, not a curated record.